This 1554-nucleotide ribosomal RNA is filed under the name Escherichia coli. Its description in RNAcentral is "bacterial SSU rRNA". It matches the Rfam family "Bacterial small subunit ribosomal RNA". Lineage: Bacteria; Pseudomonadati; Pseudomonadota; Gammaproteobacteria; Enterobacterales; Enterobacteriaceae. The record is from RNAcentral. RNAcentral also lists the same sequence under 2 other names.
UUAAAUUGAAGAGUUUGAUCAUGGCUCAGAUUGAACGCUGGCGGCAGGCCUAACACAUGCAAGUCGAACGGUAACAGGAAGAAGCUUGCUUCUUUGCUGACGAGUGGCGGACGGGUGAGUAAUGUCUGGGAAACUGCCUGAUGGAGAGGGAUAACUACUGGAAACGGUAGCUAAUACCGCAUAACGUCGCAAGACCAAAGAGGGGGACCUUCGGGCCUCUUGCCAUCGGAUGUGCCCAGAUGGGAUUAGCUAGUAGGUGGGGUAACGGCUCACCUAGGCGACGAUCCCUAGCUGGUCUGAGAGGAUGACCAGCCACACUGGAACUGAGACACGGUCCAGACUCCUACGGGAGGCAGCAGUGGGGAAUAUUGCACAAUGGGCGCAAGCCUGAUGCAGCCAUGCCGCGUGUAUGAAGAAGGCCUUCGGGUUGUAAAGUACUUUCAGCGGGGAGGAAGGGAGUAAAGUUAAUACCUUUGCUCAUUGACGUUACCCGCAGAAGAAGCACCGGCUAACUCCGUGCCAGCAGCCGCGGUAAUACGGAGGGUGCAAGCGUUAAUCGGAAUUACUGGGCGUAAAGCGCACGCAGGCGGUUUGUUAAGUCAGAUGUGAAAUCCCCGGGCUCAACCUGGGAACUGCAUCUGAUACUGGCAAGCUUGAGUCUCGUAGAGGGGGGUAGAAUUCCAGGUGUAGCGGUGAAAUGCGUAGAGAUCUGGAGGAAUACCGGUGGCGAAGGCGGCCCCCUGGACGAAGACUGACGCUCAGGUGCGAAAGCGUGGGGAGCAAACAGGAUUAGAUACCCUGGUAGUCCACGCCGUAAACGAUGUCGACUUGGAGGUUGUGCCCUUGAGGCGUGGCUUCCGGAGCUAACGCGUUAAGUCGACCGCCUGGGGAGUACGGCCGCAAGGUUAAAACUCAAAUGAAUUGACGGGGGCCCGCACAAGCGGUGGAGCAUGUGGUUUAAUUCGAUGCAACGCGAAGAACCUUACCUGGUCUUGACAUCCACGGAAGUUUUCAGAGAUGAGAAUGUGCCUUCGGGAACCGUGAGACAGGUGCUGCAUGGCUGUCGUCAGCUCGUGUUGUGAAAUGUUGGGUUAAGUCCCGCAACGAGCGCAACCCUUAUCCUUUGUUGCCAGCGGUCCGGCCGGGAACUCAAAGGAGACUGCCAGUGAUAAACUGGAGGAAGGUGGGGAUGACGUCAAGUCAUCAUGGCCCUUACGACCAGGGCUACACACGUGCUACAAUGGCGCAUACAAAGAGAAGCGACCUCGCGAGAGCAAGCGGACCUCAUAAAGUGCGUCGUAGUCCGGAUUGGAGUCUGCAACUCGACUCCAUGAAGUCGGAAUCGCUAGUAAUCGUGGAUCAGAAUGCCACGGUGAAUACGUUCCCGGGCCUUGUACACACCGCCCGUCACACCAUGGGAGUGGGUUGCAAAAGAAGUAGGUAGCUUAACCUUCGGGAGGGCGCUUACCACUUUGUGAUUCAUGACUGGGGUGAAGUCGUAACAAGGUAACCGUAGGGGAACCUGCGGUUGGAUCACCUCCUUACCUUAAAGAA